CCUACGGGGUGCAGCAGUAGGGAAUCUUGCGCAAUGGGCGAAAGCCUGACGCAGCAACGCCGCGUGAACGAGACGCCCUUCGGGGUGUAAAGUUCUGUCAGUGGGGACGAAAAAUGACGGUACCCACAGAGGAAGCACUGGCUAAUUCCGUGCCAGCAGCCGCGGUAAUACGGAGGGUGCAAGCGUUGUCCGGAAUCAUUGGGCGUAAAGGGUUGGUAGGCGGGAUGUAAAGUCAGGUGUGAAAGGCGCAGGCUCAACCUGUGUAUGGCACUUGAUACUUGCAAGCUGGAAUGCGGUAGAGGUAGAGGGAAUUCCUGGUGUAGCGGUGAAAUGCUUAGAUAUCAGGAGGAACUUCGAUGGCGUAGGCGCUUUACUAGGCCGUAAUUGACACUGAGGAACGAAAGCCAGGGUAGCAAAUGGGAUUAGAUACCCUAGUAGUC
Molecule: ribosomal RNA, 440 nt
Filed under: uncultured bacterium
Lineage: Bacteria
Description: partial 16S ribosomal RNA
Rfam family: Bacterial small subunit ribosomal RNA
Source: RNAcentral